CANUGGGGGAACCCUGAUGCAGCGACGCCGCGCUGGAGGAAGAAGGUCUUCCGAUUGUAAACUCCUGUUGUUGAGGAAGAUAAUGACGGUACUCAACAAGGAAGUGACGGCUAACUACGUGCCAGCAGCCGCGGUAAAACGUAGGUCACAAGCGUUGUCCGGAAUUACUGGGUGUAAAGGGAGCGCAGGCGGGAGAACAAGUUGGAAGUGAAAUCCAUGGGCUCAACCCAUGAACUGCUUUCAAAACUGUUUUUCUUGAGUAGUGCAGAGGUAGGCGGAAUUCCCGGUGUAGCGGUGGAAUGCGUAGAUAUCGGGAGGAACACCAGUGGCGAAGGCGGCCUACUGGGCACCAACUGACGCUGAGGCUCGAAAGUGUGGGUAGCAAACAGGAUUAGAUACCCUGGUAGUCCAAGGGCGAAUUC
RNAcentral lists this ribosomal RNA (422 nucleotides) under uncultured bacterium. RNAcentral describes it as "SSU rRNA". It matches the Rfam family "Bacterial small subunit ribosomal RNA", at positions 369 to 808 of the family's 1533-position model. The record is from RNAcentral.